RNAcentral lists this ribosomal RNA (642 nucleotides) under Lobaria pulmonaria (tree lungwort). RNAcentral describes it as "SSU rRNA". It matches the Rfam family "Bacterial small subunit ribosomal RNA", at positions 363 to 952 of the family's 1533-position model. Lineage: Eukaryota; Fungi; Ascomycota; Lecanoromycetes; Peltigerales; Lobariaceae. The record is from RNAcentral.
AUUGGUCAAUAGCCUAACGGCUGAACCAGCAACUUGGAGGAAUGAAAGGCAAUAGCUGAUUGCAUUAAAUUUAAAAUUAGAGUUUUUUUUAUUUUUAAUGUAGUUACUACUUUGUAGUUUAAAUUUCUAGGUAGAAUUAUGAUGAUGACAUUAUCUAUCUAUAGGUCUUGACCAAAUUACGUGCCAGCAGUCGCGGUAAUACGUAGAAGACAAGUGUUAUUCAUCUUUAUUAGGUUUAAAGAGUACCAAGACGGUUAAUAAAGCCCAAAAUACAUGAGCACAGGGGACACAUUAACUAGAGUUAUAUGAAAGGAAGCAUUAAGGUACUGUUGAGUGUAGAGAUAAAAUUCAGUCAUACCAGAUGAAAGGCACAGAUUUAUGCGAAGGCAUCUUCUUAUGUAAUAACUGACGUUGUAGGACGAAGGCUUUUGAAGUGAAGAGGAUUAGAUACCCUUGUAAUUUAAGCAGAAAAUGAUGAAUGUCAUAGGUUUAAUAUAUACAGCCCAAAAAAAAAAGGGUCGAUGUUUUAUUGGGUCUAUAAAUGAAAGUGUAAGCAUUCCACCUCAAGAGUAAUUUGGCAACAUUGGAACUGAAAUCAUUAGACCGUUUCUGAAACCAGUAGUGAAGUAUGUUGUUUAAUUA